This 253-nucleotide ribosomal RNA is filed under the name uncultured bacterium. Its description in RNAcentral is "partial 16S ribosomal RNA". It matches the Rfam family "Bacterial small subunit ribosomal RNA", at positions 524 to 776 of the family's 1533-position model. The record is from RNAcentral.
UACAGAGGGUGCGAGCGUUAAUCGGAGUUACUGGGCGUAAAGGGCGCGUAGGCGGUUAUAUAAGUGAGAUGUGAAAUCCCUGGGCUUAACCUAGGAACUGCAUCUCAUACUGUAUGACUGGAGUAUUGUAGAGGGUAGUGGAAUUUCCGGUGUAGCGGUGAAAUGCGUAGAGAUCGGAAGGAACACCAGUGGCGAAAGCGGCGCACUGGACCACAACUGACGUGAGGCGCGAAAGCUAGGGGGAGCAAACAGG